RNAcentral lists this long non-coding RNA (330 nucleotides) under Rosa chinensis. RNAcentral's name for it is "sRNA RchiOBHm_Chr4g0434261". Lineage: Eukaryota; Viridiplantae; Streptophyta; Magnoliopsida; Rosales; Rosaceae. The record is from RNAcentral.
AGCCGAAAAACCAUAAAAGUAAAGAAGCGGCGUAGAAUCAAGAAAAGUGAUUGGAAAAUAGGUAACUCACGCGUAAUCAGGUUACUAGCCGCUGGAAUAUUCAAGAAGAUUUGGUUUUGGACUUUUCGGGUUUCUCGUGUGAAAAGUCAGGUUUUGAUUUUGAAUCAGAUUUGACUACCUUUUGGCCAGAAUGUCCGUUUGAGACGCAUGAUACCUUUCCAGAAUGGGAACGACGAGAUCUUCAAGACUCACUUUAGUGAGCCCUAUCAGAUUUAGGCCAAAAUGUAUCGUCUUAAUUAUCCGAUUCGUGAUUUAAUAUUUUAAGGCUAG